CUCUCCUCUUCCUGCCGCCUCGGCUCACUCCUCCCACCUCAGCUCUCUCCUCCCUCCAAACCCUAGCCCCACACGCCGCCGGUCGCGCGGCUCCGCCUCCUACUCUCCUCCCCUCGAAGCCCGAGCGCGUCUGACCAUGGGGCGGCCGGCGGCAGCGGGCGAGCGGGGGCGGCUGGGCGCGCCGAGCGGGGGCCGGUGUGGCAGGCGAACAGCGGCAGCCGGAGGCGAGGCCAAGGGCGGGCGAGCAGCAAGCGCACGGGGCUGGCAAGGCAGCGCGGGCGCGGGCGCGUCUGCGGGCAGCAACGGCAACAGCGCGUAGCAGCAGGCAGCGGCGACCGCGAGCGCGCGGGGCUGGCGAGGAUGCGGCAGCGUGGCAGGGCGGCGAGCAACGGGAAGUAGCAGGAGCUCGCCGCGCGUGUGGAGCUGCGUGGACCAGCGGGUCGACGCUCCGUGCUCUCCCUACGCCGCAGCAGCCUCUUCGCGUCUCCCCGCCCCUGCCGCCGCCGGUGACCCCUGUGCCCCUUCUUCUCCGUGCUCGGCCACCCCGCGCCACUGCUGCACCUGUCGCUUCUCCCUCCGCCUCUAGACUGGGCAUGUGGAGCGCGGCGCUGUCGCCAUUGUCCUCGACGUACGGGGAGCGCUGGCUGCAGAGAAGGCCAUCCACGGUGCCGUCGCCCCACAACAGAGAAGGUCGAGAAGGAUUCUGGGUGGUUUGGCCUAUCCCUUAUGCUUUUCCCUUUUCAAUUUACGCUUUGCUGCUCUUCGAUUUGAUCCAUUAUAGUGUUGUAGCUGCAAGUGUUGGACUGGUCGUUCCUCUAACCGGAGGCCUUGCGAUGGUUCUGUUGGGUUCAGGUAAAACCAGGCAAUGAACUUUGGAGUUAGUAUCCUCAAGUUACUUUUUAACUGCAUUACUAGACAGCGGUUGGCUUUCAGUUACCAGGCUUUUCAGGUUUUGCUGCUGUUAAUUGUAUUUGGUAAGUUGCCUCUCAUUGUGCUUGUUGUCGGAACCAGCAACAGCAGAAGCUUGCCUGCUGCCCUACCUCUUCAGCAAUCUGAUGGAUUUACAGGCUUGUUUGUUUCAUUGGUGGCUUGCUGCUCGGGUUCUUUGUUGAUUUUGUUGGAUGUGUGUGUUGUUUACCAACAAGGAGCUUCAUAAGGGUUGCUCACCAAUGAACUAGAAGAUUGUUUUGUCCUGGGCACUCACACGAUUAAGGAAGAAAUUGGUUAUUCCUGGAUGUGCUAUGCAGAUCAAAGUUGUUUCCAAAUGUGCAGGCAACUGGAAGGAGAAUGCACAUCUCUUGUCAUUAUGUUGUACAAGCUCAUGUGGAAUUCAAUUUUAGGUUGUUUGAUAUGGUGCAAGGGCAUGCCCUAAAUGAGAGAAAGAACCAACACAAGGGGAGGAGCAGGGGUCAAACAACCGAUAUCUUGGCAAUCACUCUAUUUCUGACUUUCUAUGUUAUUGUUUUCAUUCGUUAUGAGGAAGGGGAUAACCAUCUGAUUCGGAUAUACAAAAUUGUGUAUUAAACCAUUUAAUCAUAUUGACCUACUGGACUAUUACCUUGUGUGAAGUUGCUUACCAUGGGCCUCUAUUCCUAUAGUAGACUUCUAAUUUCAUGAUGCUACUGAGUUUACAAUUGAAGUUGCUUACCAUGGGCCUGUAUUGCUUUUCUAAUUUCAUCAAUUGAGUACUUUGAUGUUUCAGAGUUUAUACCAUGAGUGCAUCUGCAGCAAUUUGGUAUCUGGUUUUUAUUUCAUUUUCUUACAAUUCACAAUAAGCCUUCUCGAAUAAAUCACAGUGUGACCUAAUCUUACGUGAUUGGAUGUCGCCUAAGUAUGCUUCCUGCUAUUUUUUACACUAUUGUUAACGCCAAACUGUUGUCAUGACUUACUGGUGAAAUUUAGAAGUGAUAUAUCUGCGCAUAUAUACGGGUAUUUAACAUAACAUGAUCUGCAUAUUCUGAAUCUGCAGUUCUGCACUAUGCUUUGCUGGAUGUCGCCUAAGCAGAGGAUGCGGCAGUCUUGGCCACAUUUGGUUUUCAUAAGCUAAUAUGGGGUUUCUUUCCCUUUUAUUCUUGCAAGAUAUGGUUCUUUGUUGGUUCAUUCGACCAUGCCGUUAACCAACAAGGCCUCUGAUCCUGUCUGUAGUGUGCGGCUAGGUUGUUCCUCCGCCUGGGUUGUAGCUUCUUUCCUUUCUGCCGACGGCAGGUACAAGACUCGAGCAAUGGUUAACGGGCAAGCACUAUAUACACCAUUCAUCUAUGCUAAUAUAAUCUGUCUUUUAAAGCCAAUGUAUGCUAUCACCAAGUGAUCUGAAUAUUUUGUUUCAAGCAUCAAGCUUUCAUGUAAUGGAAUAUAAGUAUCUUUAAGUUGAUUCUAAAUCAAU
RNAcentral lists this ribosomal RNA (2383 nucleotides) under Triticum aestivum (bread wheat). RNAcentral describes it as "partial small subunit ribosomal RNA". The record is from RNAcentral. Lineage: Eukaryota; Viridiplantae; Streptophyta; Magnoliopsida; Poales; Poaceae.